Molecule: ribosomal RNA, 497 nt
Filed under: uncultured bacterium
Lineage: Bacteria
Description: partial 16S ribosomal RNA
Rfam family: Bacterial small subunit ribosomal RNA
Source: RNAcentral
GACGAACGCUGGCGGCGUGCCUAAUACAUGCAAGUAGAACGCUGAAGUGAGGAGCUUGCUCUUCUUGGAUGAGUGGCGAACGGGUGAGUAACGCGUAGGUAACCUGCCUGGUAGCGGGGGAUAACUAUGGGAAACGAUAGCUAAUACCGCAUAAAAUUUAUUAUUGCAUGAUUAUUUAUUGAAAGAUGCAAUUGCAGUACUACCAGAUGGACCUGCGUUGGAUUAGGCAGUUGGGUAGGUAACGGCUCACCAAGGCGAAGGUACAUAGCCGACCUGGGAGGGUGAUCGGCCAAACUGGGACUGGGACAACGCCCAGACUCCUUCGGGGGGCAGCAGUAGGGAAUCUUUGGGAAUAGGGGGAAAGCCGACCGAGCAAAGCCGCGUGAGUGAAGAAGGGUUUCGGAUCGUAAAGAUCUGUUGUAAGAGAAGAACGGAUGUGAGAGUGGAAAGUUCACACUGUGACGGUACCUUACCAGAAAGGGACGGCUAACUACGUG